AGUGAACGCUGGCGGUAGGCCUAACACAUGCAAGUCGAACGGCAGCACAGUAAGAGCUUGCUCUUACGGGUGGCGAGUGGCGGACGGGUGAGGAAUACAUCGGAAUCUACUUUUUCGUGGGUGAUAACGUAGGGAAACUUACGCUAAUACCGCAUACGACCUACGGGUGAAAGCAGGGGAUCUUCGGACCUUGCGCGAUUGAAUGAGCCGAUGUCGGAUUAGCUAGUUGGCGGGGUAAAGGCCCACCAAGGCGACGAUCCGUAGCUGGUCUGAGAGGAUGAUCAGCCACACUGGAACUGAGACACGGUCCAGACUCCUACGGGAGGCAGCAGUGGGGAAUAUUGGACAAUGGGCGCAAGCCUGAUCCAGCCAUACCGCGUGAGUGAAGAAGGCCUUCGGGUUGUAAAGCCCUUUUAUUGGGAAAGAAAAGCAGCAGGUUAAUACCUCGCUGUUCUGACGGUACCCAAAGAAUAAGCACCGGCUAACUUCGUG
RNAcentral lists this ribosomal RNA (492 nucleotides) under uncultured bacterium. RNAcentral's name for it is "partial 16S ribosomal RNA". It matches the Rfam family "Bacterial small subunit ribosomal RNA", at positions 29 to 507 of the family's 1533-position model. The record is from RNAcentral.